Oncorhynchus tshawytscha (Chinook salmon) is the source of this 398-nucleotide long non-coding RNA. Lineage: Eukaryota; Metazoa; Chordata; Actinopteri; Salmoniformes; Salmonidae. The record is from Ensembl.
GGACAGGCAGGUUCUGCCCAUGUUACUUUGAUGUGGGCUUUGGACAGGCAGGUUCUGCCCAUGUUACUAUGAUGUGGGCUUUGGACAGGCAGGUUCUGUCCAUGUUACUUUGAUGUGGGCUUUGGACAGGCAGGUUCUGCCCAUGUUACUAUGAUGUGGGCUUGGGACAGGCAGGUUCUGUCCAUGUUACUUUGAUGUGGGCUUGGGACAGGCAGGUUCUGCCCAUGUUACUAUGAUGUGGGCUUGGGACAGGCACGACUGAUUCAUUUGUGUCACAGUCACACCAGGCAGACCACCCCUCUGUGGUGACUAUACAGUCACACCAGGCAGACCACCCCUCUGUGGUGACUAUACAGUCACACCAGGCAGACCACCCCUCUGUGGUGACUAUACAGUCA